AUUCUCCCUCUAAAAACCUGCCUUCAACCUCUUUCCCUGGUUCCAGCUUAGACAUUAUUGUCAUUAUAAUUAUUACCUAAUUAAUGAUGUCAUAUAUAAUUAGAUGUGAUACAAUAUAACACUGCAGCAUAAUACAAUUGUAAUCAUUGUUGGAUGUGAUUUCCUUCAGAAGGACCCCCCUGACUUCCCAAGGCGGGUACUCACAUGUGCUCUCAUAGCACCCGUCACAGUACUUUCCCCCCUGUAAUGCAAUUGCUAUUGAUUCUUCUCUUUUUCUCACCAUGGAGGCAGGGGAAUAUUCACUGCUGUAAGAAGUGCCCAGCACACAUCUGUCUCUCUCUUUCUCUCUCUCUCUCUCUCUCUUCUCUCUGUCUCUCUCUCACUGAGGGACAACUCUGCAUGCUGCUCUGUAAAUUGUCUUGUUCUUUAAUGACAGAUAGUGGACAUAUUUCCAUAUUACUCAAGAUAGAGCUAUAUUGUUAUUUUAAAUGACUGCCUUUCAUUGCAUGGAAAUCAUCAUUUCUUUAACCAGCCUUAUACUGCAUGCUACUAUGACAUUUUAUGAGACCAGAUGAUAAUUUAUUUUAGAACUCUGGGUACAACAGUAGUCACUGGGCUCUGAGUAAGACUCUAACGAACUCUGAUACGAGGAAAUUUAACUCAAGAAUUCUCUUAUGUCUUCCAUCUGCUCAAAAUGUCUUUUGUUGCUUACCUCCUGUGUCUUAGCUGCAUUGUAAUGGGUGUUGUUACCAGAUUCAUGACCUUCAGCGAAGUGACGCAGCAUUGUUCUAAAACUAGUUAGUAGUUUCUGAGCAUCUGUAAACUGGCAUUUAGUGAUGUCAGCCCUGGGGAAAGACGCCAUCCUGAGACAAAUACUUUGCCUAGAAGAGAUCAUGAAAUAGAUAACCCACACAUUGACAAAGUAAAAUCGACUUUAUUUGUACAUUACCAACAGUUCUCCAGGAAUUCAGCACAUUCCAGCCCUGGAGACAAAACUGUCCACAUAUUUCCUAUCAAAUUGGAUUUACAGAGCUCUGAUUGUAAACCCAGGACUAUGUUAGGUACUAUGGAGAAGAUAAGUGAUACUUUUCUGCUCUGGGAAAGUUUAUAGUCUCUUUUCAUGAUAAGAUGUUUACACCAAAAGCUCUGGACCCCCCAAAUUCAAUUCACAGCCCCACGGAUGGACAAACACAUUUGCAUUGAUCAAAGAACCUGAUCCAUGUUCUUAUGAAAAAACAGAAAAGUCAGUAUAAUGGCUCUCUGAAAAUAAUUCAAGCACAUAGAAGAAAAGGACUAAUUUUGUUCAGAAAGGGGUCUUUCGAGCUACUGAACCAAGACAUGAAGAAACUGGGCAAGGCUGUGGAACAUCAUUUUUCUCUCUAGAUCAAGCUUGGAGGCCAACUGGUGAAAUGGGAACCUACCAAGAUGGCGGGACAAGGGAGCAUGGAUCCAAGUCACCAGAUGGAGGACAGACUCCAUCUAAUCUGCAUCAGACUUUAUUCAACUGAUGAGGAAGUGAUGCUUGGUACUACUGCAGCCAUCUUGUGACCGUGAGGCUGAGGACCAAAGCUAACACCAUGAAGAUGGCAGAGAAGAGAUGUGAAAAGAACAUAAUCUUUUAAGAUAGUUCACCCAUAUAUUAACUAACUAUGGAACCACCCUGCCUUUUUUAUUGUUUGAGAUGUGAAAAGUACCUGCCACUCAGGUCAGCCAUUCUCAACCUGCCUGCACAUUAGGAAAAGCUGGGGAAUAUUUGAAACAUACCAAUGCCCCAGUUCUACUCCCAGAGAUUCUAGUUUAGUCAGACUGCUGUGGAGACCAGACCUCACUUUUUAUAAGUUCCCAGAUGAUUCUGCUCUGCAGUCAGAAUGGCAGACCACUGCAAGAGUAUAAGCUUCCUGAGGAUAGGAACUAUGCCUAUUUAAUAUUUGAUGUCCCUGUAAGUGCCAGACAUAGGGCUUAGUGUGCAAACAGGCUCUUCCUUAAUUUCCGAAUAACUCUCUAAGCAGAUAACGUGGGCUCAUCUCUCUGGGGUAAAUUUCCUUACAGAGCAAAAGCUGUGCUGUAUCUUGGAAGGAAAUGAGUUGUGACUGGUAGCAGGAGCCCAUGAAGCAGGGUCCCAGCAGCCCUCUUCUAGAUAUCCAUGGGUCUUCUGAUGCUCAGUGUCUCCCCAACCCCUUCACUACCUGACACAUACCUCUCUUCUCUGUGGUUCCAGUGUCCAAGCCCUCAGUCCUUCCCAGACCCUGGGAAGUUUUAAAGGCUGAGUCUGGAAAGAUGCUUUUCUGUGUCUGGGUCUGCUGAAGCCUGAUAGAGAAAGAUCGGCCAAUACUGCCCCAUCUACCAUAGAAUAAACACCAAUCUGAUUUCCUUUGCUUUGAGGCCUCCAAUUCCAUGAAAUAAAUUAUUGC
This 2411-nucleotide long non-coding RNA is filed under the name Homo sapiens (human). RNAcentral's name for it is "HSALNT0168220". The record is from RNAcentral. Lineage: Eukaryota; Metazoa; Chordata; Mammalia; Primates; Hominidae.